GGUGAGAUAAGCCGAGUGUCAGGCCUAGCGGCAGCCGUCUCGAAAACGGCAGGUCCUUCAACGGGCGUCUGGGUUCGAGUCCCAGUCUCACCG
RNAcentral lists this transfer RNA (93 nucleotides) under Kribbella kalugense. RNAcentral's name for it is "Kribbella sp. VKM Ac-2570 tRNA-Ser". It matches the Rfam family "tRNA". Rfam says of the family: Transfer RNA (tRNA) molecules are approximately 80 nucleotides in length. Their secondary structure includes four short double-helical elements and three loops (D, anti-codon, and T loops). Further hydrogen bonds mediate the characteristic L-shaped molecular structure. tRNAs have two regions of fundamental functional importance: the anti-codon, which is responsible for specific mRNA codon recognition, and the 3' end, to which the tRNAs corresponding amino acid is attached (by aminoacyl-tRNA synthetases). tRNAs cope with the degeneracy of the genetic code in two manners: having more than one tRNA (with a specific anti-codon) for a particular amino acid; and 'wobble' base-pairing, i.e. permitting non-standard base-pairing at the 3rd anti-codon position. The record is from RNAcentral. Lineage: Bacteria; Bacillati; Actinomycetota; Actinomycetes; Propionibacteriales; Kribbellaceae.